UCCUCCCCACCCCCUUUUCCCCCUAUCGACAAACGUAGAAGUCAAAUCCCACUUACCAAGUAUGCUUAUGACUACGAAAAGAGAGUGCUUUUUGAGAAACCAUUAUUGACUUCGCAUUUUUGCGAAGUAAAUCAUGUUUGAAAACACCUGCCUUGUGUUUGUUUUUUGUUCGAUUUGCAAACAUACAUGGAAAAUUACUUUUUUGGGCAACAGACUUUACUUGACCAGAAUAGUACAUUUCCGAAAAUUUUUCAUUGCUGUGAAAGUAACUUUUCGCUUUUUGAAUUUACCACGAUGUCUCGAUGCAAAUCUUCUCUUCGAUACUUCAUUGCAACCCUCGUGUAUAAGCAUAUUGACUUUGUCGAAUUUUUCUUGCCGACCACGACAGUUCAACGGCAUCAAAUUUCAUAAAAAUAUACAGACCAUAAUAUCCUAUAACCAAAACUAAACGAGAACUCAUUAAACAUGUUCAAAAAAGGUAAAUUAUUGACGACGACAAUAUUUUCAUUUUGUCUUUUGACCGCAAUUUAUCUUUACCGUAAAGGAGCGAACACAUUGAACGCGGAUGAAGCUAACAUUGAACGAUACUCUGACAGACAUACGACGCAAAUACCAGACGAAUCUAUUGACACAUUGAUAAAUUCACCGACAAAAAUAUAUUCAGUGAUUGAGUUUGAAGAUGAAGAAGCAUCCUCCGACGAAGGACAGAACAACUUUUCGAGCACGGAGAGUGUGAGCACAAUGGAGAAAGAGAUAUGGAAAAGCGCGGGAGAUUUCAAAGAAAAUGGCAGCACUCCGGCCUGCAAGAUACCCAUCUUAGAUCCUUUUCAUCCCCACGUGUCCAGUCUGCAGAAUGACGUGGGCACAAACCUGAGGGAGAUAUGUCGCUCGAUGUAUUCUCACGCUCCUAUAUUUCGCGUGGAAAACAACAAACUUGUCUUGAAAGAUGAUUUUAAAAAAGAUUUUGCCUUAGGCGUUGACUUCAAAUCAAUCAAACUGCGAGGUAUCGAGAGAUUGAACGAUGACGACUUUAAAUAUUUGACAAAGAGCAACCCGUUUGGUGGGCUGUCAAAUCUGAAUAAAAGCAACGACAUUGGGCAUACGGACUUCUUCCGAGUCGAUUACACAAUCAACAAAAGGCGAGCUUCAGAUUUGUACGCCCGCGUUUCUCUCAAGUCCAACGUCAGAAAAAAACAAGACCGGUUGGCAAAGAAGUUUGAAGGCAAAGGACUAAACUCAAAUGUGCUUAUUAUUGGUAUCGACUCUACGUCAAGAGCAAACUUUGUGCGUAAACUUCCACGAGUGAAGUCCUUUUUAGAGACGAGAAUGCACACCUAUUUUAUGAAAGGAAUGUCGAUUGUAGGUGAUGCUACAACGCCUGUACUCACUGCUAUGCUUACAGGAAAGGAUGUUUCAAUGUUACCGGAAGGACGGGCAUCUCAUAAAGGAAAGCCCAUCGACAACUGGCCAUGGAUUAUGCAAAAAUACGAACGCCAAGGCUACAUGACACUAUACGGGGAAGAUGACCCGAGUGUGAGUGCGUUCAACUUAAGAUUAAGAGGAUUUAAACGCAGUCCGACACAUCACUACAUGCGGCCAUUUUGGCUAUCACUUGAGAGGGAGAACGAGCGAGAUGCACAGGGACGGUGUUCGAAAUCUGAAUCGAUGGUAAACCACACUCUCAAAUAUUUGAAGAGCUUUUUUGACGCCUAUCCUAAACCAACCAAAAAAUUUGCGUUCGCCUUUUUAUCCUAUUUGACGCAUGCGUAUCCUAACCACUUGAGCCUGGCCGAAGAAGAUCUUUUGUGGUUUCUCGGGACAUUUGUGGACAAAGGGUAUUUCAAUGAUACCAUCUUGAUCGUCAUGGGUGAUCAUGGAUCGAGAAACUGGGAAUAUCGCGAUACAAUGCAGGGAAAAUUGGAAGAACGCUUACCGUGGUUUUCUAUCUCAAUACCGGCCUAUAUACACCGAAAUUAUCCUAAACUCACGGAAAACCUGCGACAAAAUCAAGAUAUCAUAUCUUCAUUUUUUGAUGUACACGCAACAUUACGUCAUAUACUGACCUAUCCCAGACUGCCAAGUGGCGAAAGAACGCAAAGCCUGUUUGAGAGGUUGCGUCGUAACAGAACUUGCUAUGAUGCAGGAAUUGCUGAACAUUGGUGCCCCUGCCUGCAAUGGUCAUCGACGACAGUGCACUCUAAGCCCGUGCAACAUAUCGCGCGGUCAGCGGUUACCAUGAUAAAUCGUAAACUUACCGAAAACUCAAAGCUAAAUAGCUCUUGUCAUCAGCUUACUUUACAGAGUGUCGAGGAUGCUUUAAUACUGAGAGCAAAUCCUAAAGUUCAAACAUUUGAGUCUACGGACCAAGAUGGUGAUGACGAAGUGAGUUACGGCGAAGCGACGAAAGAUUUGCUGCGGUAUCAAAUUAUUUUUACAACCUUGCCCAAUCAUGCAAAAUACGAGGUGACGGCUCACUUCAUUCCCGCAAGAAAUCAUGCAAAAAUUAAUCCAGAAAUCAGCAGACUUAAUCGUUAUGAUAAUCAACCAUCUUGUAUUGCAAAAUUAUACCCUUACGCCAGGAUGUUUUGCUUAUGUAAGAACAACGUCAAAGAAAAAUGACAGAGUUGGUCUCAAGUCGACGGGUGUAUAAGAACUAGCUAGGUUCAAUACAAAAUUUUGAUCUAGUGUCUAUAAGGACAGGUUGUAGAACUAUAAGGGAUCACGUUAUUCAUUGGCCUAAUGAUGAUGAGUAAGUUCAACAUCUGUACCGCAGAGCGUACCAGCUUUUUAGUUAUACACCUCGUGAUCUCGUAAUGCACUUUGCUCGACAUGGAUGGCGGUACAUUUUAAAAUUUAGUUUCCAAUAAUUUUUUUAUAUUCAUGCUUUUGAACGGUUGAAAUUACAUCAAAUGGGUUGAAAUUUACUUUAUUCAAAAACUUUACGUGUUCGCAGAAACGGCUGGAUUAUCGUUGCCAGAGAAAUUCAAGGUAACAACUUUCGAGAAAGGAACGUGAUUGAUGUACCAACUUGCAGAUAACCCAGUUUACGCGAAUUUGGAAAUGGCGAGAACGCUUUCGGGUUGGCAAGAUUUAGGAUGUGUGGACUUCGUAGCAAAGCUUCCUCUAGUGGGACCGAUCGAAGGCGGUCAUUUAUAGAUUAGUUUCUAUUCGACUACGUUUCGUGAAAAACAAUGAAUUUCUAGUUUCAGAAAGUUGAAUAAUUUCUAAGUGUACCUUUACGGUUGAGUUGGAUUUCUUGUAUCGUUGGGGUCGUGUGGUAGUCGUGCGGAUCGUGUCUCAGCGGAACCGUGCAAUACCAACUGAGCAUUUUCUCCUGACUUAUUUGUGAUACCGAUACGCGAAAUAGAUCUCAGAUCCACUCCCAAAACAAUAUCUUGGCUACAGCCGAGCACACUAUCACAUUAAGAUUUACAAGAAGCUGAAACUCGAAGCAAAAAGAUGAAAUCGCACGCUUGACGGAGGGUGAAACAUACGCCAUGAUUUUAAAGUUGGCCUAAUCACCGUCUCCAGGGCGGGCAAGCAAUUUGAAACUUUAUGAUCGGUAACCUUCCUUAACCUUUCUCAAAAACAACUUGUUUUUUUGGCACACGUACAGUACAAAAACACAUGUAAAACAUUUACGCAUGUGGUGUUAAACAUGGACAUACAUUGAAGAUUGUAAUCCUCUUUCCUGCUGCUUUCAAUGGUUUUUAAAUAAACACCCUUUACCCUG
RNA transcript from Xenia sp. Carnegie-2017, 3733 nucleotides. RefSeq lists it as uncharacterized. The record is from RefSeq and is a predicted model, not a curated record. Lineage: Eukaryota; Metazoa; Cnidaria; Anthozoa; Malacalcyonacea; Xeniidae. The transcript is spliced from 7 exons.